GAUGAACGCUAGCGGCAGGCUUAAUACAUGCAAGUCGAGGGGCAGCGCAGUGUAGAAAUACAGGGGCGGCGACCGGCAAACGGGGGCGGAACACGUACGCAACGGACCCAUAAGUGAUGAAUAGCCCUCCGAAAGGAGGAUUAAUACAUCGUAAAUUAAUGAAGAAGCAUCGCUGUAUUAAUAUAGAUCCGGCGGUUUUGGAUGGGCGGGCGACUGAUUAGGUAGUUGGCGGGGUACCGGCCCACCAAGCCUGCGAUCAGUAACUGGUGUGCGAGCACGACCAGUCACACUGGCACUGGGACACGGGCCCGACUCCUACGGGAGGCCGCCGGAAGGAAUAUUGGUCAAUGGACGCAAGUCUGAACCAGCCAUGCCGCGUGAAUGAUGCAGGUCCUCUGGAUUGUAAACUUCUUUUGAAUGGGACGAAACCUAUUUUUCUUGAGCGACUGACGUUACCAUUAGAAUAAGCACCGGCUAACUCCGUG
This 485-nucleotide ribosomal RNA is filed under the name uncultured bacterium. RNAcentral describes it as "partial 16S ribosomal RNA". It matches the Rfam family "Bacterial small subunit ribosomal RNA", at positions 28 to 507 of the family's 1533-position model. The record is from RNAcentral.